RNAcentral lists this unclassified non-coding RNA (233 nucleotides) under fungal sp. Its description in RNAcentral is "partial internal transcribed spacer region". The stretch from base 1 to 46 matches the Rfam family "Eukaryotic small subunit ribosomal RNA", at positions 1786 to 1831 of the family's 1831-position model. Lineage: Eukaryota; Fungi. The record is from RNAcentral.
AAGUCGUAACAAGGUAACCGUAGGUGAACCUGCGGUUGGAUCAUUAACAAAAAACUACUUUAAAGUUUCUUUUUUUUUUUAACCAAAAAAAAAGACUUUAAAACAUUUUGUGAACCUUUAUAAACAUUUUAAACAAUAAUUCAAAAAUUUGGCCUUUAAAACAAAAACAUUUUUGUUUUUAAAAUUUAAAUUUAUUUAAAAAACAACUUUUGACAACGGAUCUCUUGGCUCUC